This 79-nucleotide transfer RNA is filed under the name Enterococcus faecalis PC1.1. Its description in RNAcentral is "tRNA-Ile". It matches the Rfam family "tRNA". From Rfam's summary of the family: Transfer RNA (tRNA) molecules are approximately 80 nucleotides in length. Their secondary structure includes four short double-helical elements and three loops (D, anti-codon, and T loops). The record is from RNAcentral. Lineage: Bacteria; Bacillati; Bacillota; Bacilli; Lactobacillales; Enterococcaceae.
UGGGCCUAUAGCUCAGCUGGUUAGAGCGCACGCCUGAUAAGCGUGAGGUCGAUGGUUCGAGUCCAUUUAGGCCCAUAAU